RNAcentral lists this ribosomal RNA (431 nucleotides) under uncultured bacterium. RNAcentral's name for it is "partial 16S ribosomal RNA". It matches the Rfam family "Bacterial small subunit ribosomal RNA", at positions 29 to 505 of the family's 1533-position model. The record is from RNAcentral.
AGCGAACGCUGGCGGCAUGCCUAACACAUGCAAGUCGAACGAGACCUUCGGGUCUAGUGGCGCACGGGUGCGUAACGCGUGGGAACCUGCCCUUAGGUUCGGAAUAACUCCCCGAAAGGGGUGCUAAUACCGGAUAAUGUCUUCGGACCAAAGAUUUAUCGCCUUUGGAUGGGCCCGCGUUGGAUUAGCUAGUUGGUAGGGUAAAAGCCUACCAAGGCGACGAUCCAUAGCUGGUCUGAGAGGAUGAUCAGCCACACUGGGACUGAGACACGGCCCAGACUCCUACGGGAGGCAGCAGUGGGGAAUAUUGGACAAUGGGCGAAAGCCUGAUCCAGCAAUGCCGCGUGAGUGAUGAAGGCCUUAGGGUUGUAAAGCUCUUUUACCCGGGAUGAUAAUGACAGUACCGGGAGAAUAAGCUCCGGCUAACUCCG